Long non-coding RNA from Helianthus annuus (common sunflower), 640 nucleotides. RefSeq lists it as uncharacterized. NCBI's taxonomy places the organism in Eukaryota, Viridiplantae, Streptophyta, Magnoliopsida, Asterales, Asteraceae. The transcript is spliced from 5 exons. The record is from RefSeq and is a predicted model, not a curated record.
ACGUUGUACCUGCUGGUCAACGUGAUACGCCUCCUUCAAAGUCAAUAGUUGCAGCCGGAGUUACGACUUCUGCAUGCUCUUGGCGUUACAAACCAACCCGCUGAGACGUUUUGUGACGGAGAUGCAGCAGUGGCAGUUAAGCAGUUCAUCUCAUGUUCCGUGUUAAUGGACGAUACGUCGAGUGGCAAAAGUGGAAUUUUCGUAUUGGGUUCACUCCAAGGGAGGGUUUAGUAAUUCAUUCUGUUGCAUAUGUUGAUGGUAGUCGAGGCCGAAGACCCAUAGCUCAUAGAUUGAGCUUUGUUGAGAUGGUUGUGCCGUAUGGUGAUCCAAACGAUACUCAUUAAAGAAAGAAUGCAUUUGAUGCAGGCGAAGAUGGCCUCGGGAAAAACGCCCACUCACUUAAAAAGGGAUGUGAUUGCUUGGGUUAUAUCAAGUACUUUGAUGCACAUUUUACAAACUUCACUAGGGGCGUUGAAACUAUUGAAAAUUGUGUAUGUAUGCAUGAGGAGGAUCAUGGAAUCCUUUGGAAGCACCAAGACUGGAGAACUGGUUUAGCUGAAGUAAGAAGAUCUCGGCGACUCACAGUGUCUUUUAUAUGCACCGUGGCUAACUAUGUUUCUAUUGGCACUUUUAGCAGGUG